Styela clava is the source of this 681-nucleotide non-coding RNA. NCBI's taxonomy places the organism in Eukaryota, Metazoa, Chordata, Ascidiacea, Stolidobranchia, Styelidae. The record is from RefSeq and is a predicted model, not a curated record.
AAUUUUUCUCGAAACAGAAGGAGAUACGAGAAGCGAGUGGUUGACGCCACUUUAUAUAGUGACUCUCCAACGAGAUGGCCUACGUUUCAGAACUUGGCAGACGGAAAUGCGGGUAGUGAUUCGGAGAACGCUGUGCCAGGAGUUUCAGAUUAGUCAACAGACUAUACCGCACCAUCUUCAGAAUCACUUUCAAUAAACAAUGUAAGUGACUUGAAAGAAAAUCAUAUAUACGGAAAAGAAAAGGGCUGUAAAUCAAUUCCAAAAAAAGCUUCUAAAUAAACGUGAACCAGAAAAGAAACGACGAAAAGAAAAAUAAUUGCACGGCUUUGUAUAUCUUGCGAGAAGUUUAUUGUAAAGCUUUAAGACAUCUCUGUAUAAUUCAUAAAGAUGAACCGGCAGUGAGCACAUAAUUUUGUCUCUCAUCAACAACUUAAUCUAGUGGGCAUAUCCACAUUCGUAUACAUACUUGGCAUACAUUUUUACUAUUUAAUUAUAAAUUCAAAAUAACAAUCAUGUUUUUGUAUUCCGAGUUGGUGCAAAAAUUUUAAAUAAAUUGUGCAAAGAUUCUAAAUUGAUAUCGGGGUUGAAUAAUUUCAUGUUGAUCGCUUGUAUAGUUGACUGUAUAAUCACUGCUAUACUUAAGCGCGCCUUGAUAGGUAGACAUUUGAGUUAUAAUUGGUG